This 386-nucleotide ribosomal RNA is filed under the name Legionella worsleiensis. Its description in RNAcentral is "bacterial SSU rRNA". It matches the Rfam family "Bacterial small subunit ribosomal RNA", at positions 441 to 826 of the family's 1533-position model. Lineage: Bacteria; Pseudomonadati; Pseudomonadota; Gammaproteobacteria; Legionellales; Legionellaceae. The record is from RNAcentral.
AGGGUUGAUAGGUUAAGAGCUGGUUGAUUGGACGUUACCCACAGAAGAAGCACCGGCUAACUCCGUGCCAGCAGCCGCGGUAAUACGGAGGGUGCGAGCGUUAAUCGGAAUUACUGGGCGUAAAGGGUGCGUAGGUGGUUAAUUAAGUUAUCUGUGAAAUCCCUGGGCUCAACCUGGGCAGGUCAGAUAAUACUGUUUAACUCGAGUAUGGGAGAGGGUAGUGGAAUUUCCGGUGUAGCGGUGAAAUGCGUAGAGAUCGGAAGGAACACCAGUGGCGAAGGCGGCUACCUGGCCUAAUACUGACACUGAGGCACGAAAGCGUGGGGAGCAAACAGGAUUAGAUACCCUGGUAGUCCACGCUGUAAACGAUGUCAACUAGCUGUUGG